RNAcentral lists this ribosomal RNA (478 nucleotides) under uncultured bacterium. Its description in RNAcentral is "partial 16S ribosomal RNA". It matches the Rfam family "Bacterial small subunit ribosomal RNA", at positions 28 to 523 of the family's 1533-position model. The record is from RNAcentral.
GACGAACGCUGGCGGCGUGCUUAACACAUGCAAGUCGAACGGUAAGGCCCUUCGGGGUACACGAGUGGCGAACGGGUGAGUAACACGUGGGUGAUCUGCCCUGCACCUCGGGAUAAGCCUGGGAAACUGGGUCUAAUACCGGAUAGGACCACUGCCUGCAUGGGUGGUGGUGGAAAGCUUUUGCGGUGUGGGAUGGGCCCGCGGCCUAUCGGCUUGUUGGUGGGGUGAUGGCCUACCAAGGCGACGACGGGUAGCCGGCCUGAGAGGGUGACCGGCCACACUGGGACUGAGAUACGGCCCAGACUCCUACGGGAGGCAGCAGUGGGGAAUAUUGCACAAUGGGCGCAAGCCUGAUGCAGCGACGCCGCGUGAGGGAUGACGGCCUUCGGGUUGUAAACCUCUUUCAGCACCGACGAAGCGCAAGUGACGGUAGGUGCAGAAGAAGGACCGGCCAACUACGUGCCAGCAGCCGCUGUAA